GGAGUCUGCUGGGGAAAAAAAGGACUUAAUUUAGCAACAAACAAUUCUACAUGGAACCUGUAAAAAAAACACAACUGGGGAAGAAUUAAAGUGUAAGACAUCACAGAUUUGUUAUUCAAGCAUGAUCCCUUACUUCGCAAACAAGUGUACUUUAUAUUCUGUUAUAAUUUUACCUUUUUCCUUUUUACCUUUUUAGUUUGUACAUGGUGUAAAGAUUAUUCAUUUAUAUUAUGUUUAUUUAUUUUGUUUGUAAAUUGUGUUUUUAUGAGAAAGUUUUGGGUGGAGACUUUUAUUUUGACGGUCGCACUGCUACUUUCUGUUGGUUCGCGGCAUUCCUCAGUCUCCGGGACCGGUAGGGCCGCUGAGGAAAGGUGUUUGUGGAAGCAGGAAUCUGAGGUGGCUGAAUUGGUAUAUUCAUGUUUUCACAAAGUAAAUUCCCUCAUCUUGGAUGGCAAAUCCCAAUAUGAGACUCACCAUUACAACUGAUACACAACGCAGCAGUCAAAAAAAAGCCCGACUACACCACAAUGAGGUACAUGCCCGUGUAUUAGGUUUAACUUCCUAAAAACACCCACAAAUGUUCAACGUAUUCUAAAAAAAAGAGAGAAUUUACUUUGAAAAAGUAGCUGACGACAACAACAAUUCAGACUGGAAAAAAACAAUACUUGAGAUUAGUUACUUUUAGCAAAAAAGGACAUUAAAGUGUUUGCGUCUACAAAGUUCAACCAGGAAACUCUGAUUAGUAAGUCAACAUGAAUUUAAAAAACCCUAAAGUGAUCAACCACAAACAGAAAAAAAGUGACUGUGUGUCAUUUCUU
Long non-coding RNA from Oryzias latipes (Japanese medaka), 818 nucleotides. RefSeq lists it as uncharacterized. Lineage: Eukaryota; Metazoa; Chordata; Actinopteri; Beloniformes; Adrianichthyidae. The record is from RefSeq and is a predicted model, not a curated record.